Homo sapiens (human) is the source of this 1165-nucleotide long non-coding RNA. RefSeq lists it as uncharacterized. The transcript is spliced from 3 exons. The record is from RefSeq and is a predicted model, not a curated record. Lineage: Eukaryota; Metazoa; Chordata; Mammalia; Primates; Hominidae.
GUUGAAAUGUGGUGCAGGCCCAGUGACGGCCUGGCUGAGCUCAUGAGAGCUCUUGAGCUAGAAUGGUCUUGCUAGAGUUGAGCCAGAUGGCAAGGUCUUCUUACUCCAAAGCUAUUAGUCACUAGAUAUGGGCUGCCCAGGAGGGGCUUGAUCAUGAGCAAGGCAGCUUGCCUGAAGGGAUGGCAGCUGAAGGCUGUCUGUUGACAGACUUCCAGCAGCUGGGACAACAAGCUCUUAUUUCAGGGAGGUCUGGGUGGUGUAUCUCAGUGUCCCACACAUGAACAUUACUUUGGAAUGAGUGUUUCCACAGCACAGGAGCCCAGCAUGAGGGAUGUACAGGAAAAUCUGCAGGCCUGGGUGUCAGCCCUGAGUCAGGACUCUGACUCUGUUGCUUCUUAGCUGUGGGACCAUGGUUGCAUGAUCAAGCUGACUUGAGGGUUCUGAACAGAAGCUGACCAGUCUACUGCACAUUGUAAAGAAGUUAAAAAGCUGGAUUGAAUUGCAAAAUGUACUACUCAAGGAGUCCAAAGAAUAAAAUAUGAGCAGCUUGUGGGGGUAAAGCAUUCGUAGGUAUAGUAUAGAAAAGGUCCAUGAGCAUCAUGUCAGUGUCUUUUAACUUUCCAUUGCAGUGGAAUAAUCCUUUAUGCGUUUAUGAAAAUCUUUGGAAAAGAAGCCACGUCACUGGGUGGUUCCUACUUAUUUUCCUCUCCAGGGGCCUUUGCUGCUCUUGCUGGGUGCCUCAGUUGCUAGCUUUGUGAGUAGUAAUGCCCCACUGUUCCCAGCUCCUUGCUUGCUGGGUGUGAGGACAGAGGCUAUCAUAGCAAUAAUUGCUGGAUGUUCUGUGUUUGCACAUCUGUGGUGGCCUUCUGAAUUGAGUUUCGUGCCAGAGCCAGGCAGCGCCUCCCUACCCCACCCUCCCACUGCCCCUUUAUUUUCUGUGUCACACCAUUAAAAGAAAUGAGAUUAUGGCACAAAUCAUCAUUCAUAUGACUCUAGCAUAGAAGGUUAGCGAGAUAUUGCAGAGAUAAUUCCAUAGCCACCAUGGCCCCUGACAAUAAUUACAAUGUGGCCACAGGGGAUUACCUUCUAAUAGGCUUUUGUUCACUCAAUUCAGAGUCUGUUGUGUGCUAGAGUUUGGAUAAUUAAAGUUGUGUCUCAGAAGCCA